AUUGAACGCUGGCGGCAUGCCUUACACAUGCAAGUCGAACGGUAACGCGGGGCAACCUGGCGACGAGUGGCGAACGGGUGAGUAAUGCAUCAGAACGUGCCCAGUAGUGGGGGAUAGCCCGGCGAAAGCCGGAUUAAUACCGCAUACGACCUACGGGUGAAAGCGGGGGACUCGCAAGAGCCUCGCGCUAUUGGAGCGGCCGAUGUCAGAUUAGGUAGUUGGUGGGGUAAAAGCCUACCAAGCCGACGAUCUGUAGCUGGUCUGAGAGGACGACCAGCCACACUGGGACUGAGACACGGCCCAGACUCCUACGGGAGGCAGCAGUGGGGAAUUUUGGACAAUGGGCGCAAGCCUGAUCCAGCCAUGCCGCGUGCGGGAAGAAGGCCUCGGGUUGUAACCGCUUUGUCAGGGAGAAACGCUCUGGGUCUAAUACCCUGGGUAAUGACGGUACCUGAAGAAUAAGCACCGGCUAACU
This 475-nucleotide ribosomal RNA is filed under the name uncultured bacterium. Its description in RNAcentral is "bacterial SSU rRNA". It matches the Rfam family "Bacterial small subunit ribosomal RNA", at positions 29 to 502 of the family's 1533-position model. The record is from RNAcentral.